Molecule: transfer RNA, 76 nt
Filed under: Candidatus Doudnaibacteriota bacterium
Lineage: Bacteria; Candidatus Doudnaibacteriota
Description: Candidatus Doudnabacteria bacterium tRNA-Arg
Rfam family: tRNA
About the family: Transfer RNA (tRNA) molecules are approximately 80 nucleotides in length. Their secondary structure includes four short double-helical elements and three loops (D, anti-codon, and T loops). Further hydrogen bonds mediate the characteristic L-shaped molecular structure. tRNAs have two regions of fundamental functional importance: the anti-codon, which is responsible for specific mRNA codon recognition, and the 3' end, to which the tRNAs corresponding amino acid is attached (by aminoacyl-tRNA synthetases). tRNAs cope with the degeneracy of the genetic code in two manners: having more than one tRNA (with a specific anti-codon) for a particular amino acid; and 'wobble' base-pairing, i.e. permitting non-standard base-pairing at the 3rd anti-codon position.
Source: RNAcentral
GUCCUCGUAGCUUAAUGGAUAAAGCGUCCGCCUCCGGAGCGGGAGACUGCGCGUUCGACUCGCGCCGAGGACACCA